AGUGGCAGACGGGUGAGUAACGCGUGGGAAUCUACCCUAUGGUGGGGGAUAACUUUGGGAAACUAAAGCUAAUACCGCAUAAGCUCGAAGGAGGAAAGAUUUAUUGCCAUAGGAAGAGCCCGCGUAAGAUUAGGUAGUUGGUGAGGUAAAGGCUCACCAAGCCUGUGAUCUUUAGCUGGUCUGAGAGGAUGAUCAGCCACACUGGGACUGAGACACGGCCCAGACUCCUACGGGAGGCAGCAGUGGGGAAUAUUGGACAAUGGGGGAAACCCUGAUCCAGCGAUGCCGCGUGAAUGAAGAAGGCCUUAGGGUUGUAAAGUUCUUUCACCCACGACGAUGAUGACGGUAGUGGGAGAAGAAGCCCCGGCUAACUCCGUGCCAGCAGCCGCGGUAAUACGGAGGGGGCUAGCGUUGUUCGGAAUGACUGGGCGUAAAGGGCGCGUAGGCGGUUUAUCAAGUGAGGCGUGAAAGCCCCGGGCUUAACCUGGGAAUUGCGUUUCAUACUAGUAGACUUGAGGACGAGAGAGGAAAGUGGAAUUCCUAGUGUAGAGGUGAAAUUCGUAGAUAUUAGGAAGAACACCAGUGGCGAAGGCGACUUUCUGGCUCGUAUCUGACGCUGAGCGCGGAAGCGUGGGGAGCAAACAGAUAGAUACCCUGUUAGUCCACGCUGU
Molecule: ribosomal RNA, 671 nt
Filed under: uncultured bacterium
Lineage: Bacteria
Description: bacterial SSU rRNA
Rfam family: Bacterial small subunit ribosomal RNA
Source: RNAcentral